RNA transcript from Fukomys damarensis (Damara mole-rat), 2997 nucleotides. It is a transcript of the gene named elaC ribonuclease Z 2, with no coding region annotated. The transcript is spliced from 25 exons. NCBI's taxonomy places the organism in Eukaryota, Metazoa, Chordata, Mammalia, Rodentia, Bathyergidae. The record is from RefSeq and is a predicted model, not a curated record.
UCCAGGCGGAGCGGAGAGGCUGCUUGGGGCAUGCUGACUAGUGAUCAGCUGUGUUCUCAGUCCAUCUAGGGACGAACGCAUGUGGACUCUUCGCUCGCUGUUGUGGUCUUUUGGCAGGUGCGCCAUGUCUCAAGGACCUGCCCGUCGCCAGCGGCCGCCCAAGGACCCGCUGCGACACUUGCGCGCGCGGGAGAAGCGUGGUUCGUCCUCGGGGCUUGGGAGCCCGAACACCGUGUACCUGCAGGUAGUGGCGGCGGGCGGCCGGGAUGCAGGCGCCGCGCUCUACGUCUUCUCGGAAUACAACCGGUAUCUCUUCAACUGUGGAGAAGGCAUCCAGCGACUCAUGCAGGAACACAAACUGAAGGUUGCUCGCUUGGACAACAUAUUCCUGACACGAAUGCACUGGUGUAAUGUUGGGGGAUUGUGUGGAAUGAUUCUUACUUUAAAAGAAACUGGGGUUCCAAAGUGUGUACUUUCUGGACCUCCGCAACUGGAAAAGUACUUGGAAGCAAUCAAAAUAUUUUCUGGUCCAUUGAAAGGAAUAGAUCUGGCUGUACGGCCCCACUCUGCACCAGAAUACAAAGAUGAGACCAUGACAGUUCACCAGGUCCCCAUCUACAGUGAACAGGGGCGUGGAGAGCAGCACCAGCCAGCACAGAGCCCGGAAAGGUCCCUCCACAGGCUCAGCCCAGAACAGCCUUCUAACUCUGGAUCAGCCAAAAAUGAGCAGCACCUUCUAGAUGGCAAUGGUGUAAACAAACCCUGCUGGAAAGGUGUUAGCCUGAAAAGAAGAGGAAGGGACCCUUCCUUGGUUGUUGCUUUUGUAUGUAAGCUUCACUUGAAGAAAGGAAACUUCUUGGUGCUCAAAGCAAAGGAACUGGGCCUCCCAGUUGGGACGCCCGCCAUCGCGCCCAUCAUCGCUGCUGUCAAGGAUGGGAAGAGUAUCACGUAUGAAGGAAGAGAGAUUUUGCCUGAAGAGCUCUGCACCCCCCCGGAUCCUGGUCUUGCAUUUAUUGUGGUAGAAUGCCCAGAUGAAGGAUUCAUCCAGCCCAUUUGUGACAAUGUCACCUUUAAAAGGUAUCAAGGAGAUGCUAAUGGCCCCGUGGCCGUGGUGGUUCACAUGGCCCCAGAAUCUGUGCUUAUGGACAGCAGGUACCAGCAGUGGAUGGAGAGGUUUGGGCCUGACACCCAGCACUUGAUCCUGAAUGAGAACUGUGCAUCAGUCCACAACCAUCGCAGCCACAAGAUUCAAACGCAGCUCAACCUCAUCCACCCACACAUCUUCCCCUUGCUCACCAGUUUCCACAGGAAGGAGGAAGGCCUGGCCCUCAGUGUGCCCACUGUCCGGGGUGAAUGCCUCCUCAAGUACCAGCUCCGUCCCAGGAGGGGGUGGCAGAGGGAUGCCAUUAUUUCUUGCCACCCUAAUGAAUUCAUAGCUGAGGCCCUGGAGCUCCCCAAUUUCCAGGAGAGUGUGCAGGAGUACAGGAAGAGUGUACAGGAUGCCCCAGUGCCCACAGAGAAAAAAAGCCAGUAUCCAGAAAUUGUCUUCCUUGGAACAGGGUCUGCCGUCCCUAUGAAGAUUCGGAAUGUCAGUUCCACGCUCAUCAACAUAAGCCCUGACAAGUCUCUGCUCCUGGACUGUGGCGAAGGAACAUUUGGGCAGCUGUGCCGUCACUAUGGAGAUCAAGUGGACAGGGUCCUCGGCACCCUUGCCGCUGUGUUUGUAUCCCACCUCCACGCAGACCACCACACGGGUUUGCUGAAUAUUCUGCUGCAGAGAGAGCGUGCUUUGGCAUCUCUGGGACAGCCGUUCUACCCUUUGCUGGUGGUAGCCCCUACCCAGCUCUGGCCAUGGCUGCAGCAAUACCACAACCAGUGCCAAGAGGUUCUGCACCACAUCAGUAUGAUUCCUGCCAAAUACUUUCAGAAAAGGGUAGAGGUCUCUAAUCCUCCCAUUGAAAGUCUGAUCAGUUCACUGUUGGAAACAUGUGACCUGAAAGAGUUUCAGACCUGCCUGGUCCGGCACUGCAAGGAUGCUUUUGGCUGUGCACUGGUGCACACGUCUGGCUGGAAAGUGGUCUACUCGGGGGACACCAUGCCCUGUGAGGCUCUGGUCCAGAUCGGGAAGGGUGCCACCCUGCUGAUCCAUGAAGCCACUCUGGAGGACGGCUUGGAGGGGGAAGCAGUGGAGAAGACACACAGCACCACCUCCCAAGCUAUUGGUGUGGGGAUGCGCAUGAAUUCUGGCUUUAUCAUGCUGAACCACUUCAGCCAGCGGUAUGCCAAGAUCCCCCUCUUCAGCCCUGACUUCAAUGACAAAGUUGGAAUUGCCUUCGACCACAUGAAGGUUUGCUUUGGAGACUUUCCAACAGUGCCCAAGCUGAUUCCCCCCUUGAAGGCCCUGUUUGCUGAGGACAUUGAGGAGAUGGUGGAGCGCAAGGAGAAGCGAGAGCUUCGGCUGGUACGUGCAGCACUCCUUGAGGCGGCAGCCGGCAGCCCAAAAGACAGGGAGCCCUUGCAGAAGCGAGCCCAAGUGGCGGAGCCGCACAGCCCACAGAGCAAGAAGGCCAGAGCCUAGUGAAGGUCUGGCCCCACCCUGAACUCUGAAAGCUGUCUUCCGCACUCUACCCGCCCCUGUGCUCUUCACCCUCGUGGGAGCCAGAGAAGAUGGUCCAGCCAGGAGGCCUCUUGUGAUAGGAGUGUGGAGCCAUGCUGUGUCCUGUGUCCUGGAAAACAUGGGAAGGACUUUGGAAAACCAGGUGACAAGAAAAAGGCACAGAGCAAGGACUUGGCCUUUCCUGGGCGACCAUCAGCCUCCUCCUAACGCAUUAUGGGGAAGCAUGAACUGCCCCACAGCUUUAAUAAAAUAAGAACAUGUGCCAAGCUUUGGGAUAAUAAAUCUAUUUUAAUAACAUUACUUUUGACAACGAUUUUUACAUGUAUUUAAAGAUAACCUUCAACCCCUGGGCUUCAUUACAAAGUGGGGAGUGAACUGCC